AUGCUCACGUCAACGGCACAUUGACUGAAAUAGGAACCAUACAGCGAAGAGUAGCAUGGCGCCCUUACAAGGAGCGCAUGCAAAGUUGUGAAGUGUUCCAUGUUUUU
Small nuclear RNA from Leptonychotes weddellii (Weddell seal), 107 nucleotides. NCBI's taxonomy places the organism in Eukaryota, Metazoa, Chordata, Mammalia, Carnivora, Phocidae. The record is from RefSeq and is a predicted model, not a curated record.